CAUCAUGUAUCUUAUCUAAAAUUUUAAAUUUUUGUGCAUGCAUUAACACCUAACACGGAAGUUAGAAAACCACAAUAAUCAAGUUCAUUCACCUAAGCAAAAACAUUUAACUUGCACACUAUAAAAAUCCCUACCAUCCCAUUCAUUGUUCAUAUAAGCAUAAACAUACAACCUUCCAGAAACAUUCAGCCACAUGAAUGAGGAGAAUUAAGUUUUCGUUAGAUUCCAUUUUUUCAGAAAAUUGCAUCCAGUCAUGCCUUUAUUGUUUCAUCCCCAUCAGUGUAUAUUCUGUAACAUUUAUCUUAUAUAUAUGCUUUCGAGUUCAAAAAUUGUAUUGAGUUACUUUUUAUUUGUGGCAUGAAGGACUCAUGAUCAUUUCUUGAGAGAAGAGUUACUGGAUUACGUAGAGUAAGGAUACUAAACAAAAAUGAUGUCGAAGAUUUCACAGACUAUACAUGGGGAUACCAGCUAAUUCCAUGCAAUAAUUUCAUGGAGGUUGGGCUGUCAGGAGAGAAAUUAAAUAUUCACACAAAACAAGGGUCAAGUAAUAUUCAAUGGAGAAGGUUUGGAAACUCUAAUCAUCAAAGACUCACAUGGUACAAGACUCAAUUUGAUGCACCCAAAGGAAAUGACCCUGUUGCAUUAAACCUUGGUUCUAUGGGAAAAGGGGAAGCUUGGGUUAAUGGACAAAGUAUUGGGCAAUAUUGGGUCUCAUUUCU
Molecule: long non-coding RNA, 719 nt
Organism: Quercus lobata
Lineage: Eukaryota; Viridiplantae; Streptophyta; Magnoliopsida; Fagales; Fagaceae
Exons: 3
Source: RefSeq, a predicted model, not a curated record